CCUACGGGUGGCAGCAGUGAGGAAUAUUGGUCAAUGGACAAGAGUCUGAACCAGCCAAGUAGCGUGAAGGAUGACUGCCCUAUGGGUUGUAAACUUCUUUUGUAUGGGAAUAACAUGUUCCACGUGUGGGAUUUUGUAUGUACCGUAUGAAUAAGGGUCGGCUAACUCCGUGCCAGCAGCCGCGGUAAUACGGAGGGUCCGAGCGUUAUCCGGAUUUAUUGGGGUUAAAGGGAGCGUAGGUGGACUGUUAAGUCAGCGGUAAAAGCCCGGGGCUCAACCGCGGCGAGCCGUUGAAACUGGCUGCCUGGAGAUGGCGAGAGGCAGGCGGAAUGCGCAGUGUAGCGGUGAAAUGCUUAGAUAUUGCGAAGAACCCCGAUUGCGAAGGCAGCAUGCCGGGGGGGGUCUGACGCUGAGGCACGAAAGCGCGGGUAUCGAACAGGAUUAGAUACCCGUGUAGUC
Molecule: ribosomal RNA, 459 nt
Filed under: uncultured bacterium
Lineage: Bacteria
Description: partial 16S ribosomal RNA
Rfam family: Bacterial small subunit ribosomal RNA
Source: RNAcentral